Molecule: ribosomal RNA, 373 nt
Filed under: uncultured organism
Description: partial 16S ribosomal RNA
Rfam family: Bacterial small subunit ribosomal RNA
Source: RNAcentral
GUAGGUGGCAAGCGUUGUCCGGAAUUAUUGGGCGUAAAGCGCGCGCAGGCGGUUCUUUAAGUCUGAUGUGAAAGCCCACGGCUCAACCGUGGAGGGUCAUUGGAAACUGGAGAACUUGAGUACAGGAGAGGAAAGCGGAAUUCCACGUGUAGCGGUGAAAUGCGUAGAGAUGUGGAGGAACACCAGUGGCGAAGGCGGCUUUCUGGUCUGUAACUGACGCUGAGGCGCGAAAGCGUGGGGAGCAAACAGGGAUUAGAUACCCUGGUAGUCCACGCCGUAAACGAUGAGUGCUAAGUGUUAGGGGGUUUCCGCCCCCUUAGUGCUGCAGCUAACGCAUUAAGCACUCCGCCUGGGGAGUACGGCCGCAAGGCUG